CUGCUCACUUCAGCAGCACAUAUACUAAAAUUGGAAUACAGGGAAAAUUAGCAUGGCCCCUGUGCAAGGAUGACACACAAAUUCAUGAAGCGUUCCAUGUUUAA
Molecule: small nuclear RNA, 104 nt
Organism: Papio anubis (olive baboon)
Lineage: Eukaryota; Metazoa; Chordata; Mammalia; Primates; Cercopithecidae
Source: Ensembl